Molecule: ribosomal RNA, 188 nt
Filed under: Lysinibacillus sp. KCTC 33748
Lineage: Bacteria; Bacillati; Bacillota; Bacilli; Caryophanales; Bacillaceae
Description: partial 16S ribosomal RNA
Rfam family: Bacterial small subunit ribosomal RNA
Source: RNAcentral
UUUUAUGGAGAGUUUGAUCCUGGCUCAGGACGAACGCUGGCGGCGUGCCUAAUACAUGCAAGUCGAGCGAACAGAUAAGGAGCUUGCUCCUUUGACGUUAGCGGCGGACGGGUGAGUAACACGUGGGUAACCUACCUUAUAGUUUGGGAUAACUCCGGGAAACCGGGGCUAAUACCGAAUAAUCUAUU